CUGCCUCUUCUUCUGCUGUUCCUCCCCGUGGCCGACGUCGGAGGCGUCCCCGCCGCGGUGCUUCUCCGCUGGAUCAGGUCCCUCGUCGCUUGCGUCGCCGUAUUAAUUUUAAUUAGGAGCCUGUAAAAUUUUUCAUUCAUCAUUUUUGCAAUUUUGAAUAAAUAUCUUUUUACCUUUUUCCUUUAUUUGCCUUACACCUUUACUUUGAAGUACGUUAGUGUAACCGAAAUUUUUCUUGGUCAGUACCAUAUUCUUUUUUCCUUUUCUAAAGGUGUCGGAUUUUUGGCAAGUCGAUCUCAUUUCUCCCUGGAAAUGUCGACCUUCCUAAAAAUGUCGAUCCCACCUUUUUUCUGAGGAAGUCGAUGACUGCUGAUCCUCUUCUAAAGGUGUCGAAUCUUUGGCAAGUCGAUCUCAUUUCUCCCUGGAAAUGUCG
This 433-nucleotide long non-coding RNA is filed under the name Zostera marina. RNAcentral's name for it is "long non-coding RNA (ZMAR_LNC000161)". The record is from RNAcentral. Lineage: Eukaryota; Viridiplantae; Streptophyta; Magnoliopsida; Alismatales; Zosteraceae.